GUCAGAACGAACGCUGGCGGCAGGCCUAACACAUGCAAGUCGAGCGCUCUCUUCGGAGGGAGCGGCGGACGGGUUAGUAACGCGUGGGAAUAUACCCUUUGGUACGGAAUAGCCUCUGGAAACGGAGAGUAAUACCGUAUGAGCCCUUCGGGGGAAAGAUUUAUCGCCAAAGGAUUAGCCCGCGUUAGAUUAGGUAGUUGGUGGGGUAAUGGCCUACCAAGCCUACGAUCUAUAGCUGGUUUUAGAGGAUGAUCAGCAACACUGGGACUGAGACACGGCCCAGACUCCUACGGGAGGCAGCAGUGGGGAAUCUUGGACAAUGGGGGCAACCCUGAUCCAGCCAUGCCGCGUGAGUGAUGAAGGCCUUAGGGUCGUAAAGCUCUUUCGCCUGUGAAGAUAAUGACGNAGCAGNAAAGAACCCCGNA
Molecule: ribosomal RNA, 425 nt
Filed under: Ruegeria sp. HJ231
Lineage: Bacteria; Pseudomonadati; Pseudomonadota; Alphaproteobacteria; Rhodobacterales; Roseobacteraceae
Description: bacterial SSU rRNA
Rfam family: Bacterial small subunit ribosomal RNA
Source: RNAcentral